This 339-nucleotide long non-coding RNA is filed under the name Manihot esculenta (cassava). Its description in RNAcentral is "long non-coding RNA (MESC_LNC012307)". Lineage: Eukaryota; Viridiplantae; Streptophyta; Magnoliopsida; Malpighiales; Euphorbiaceae. The record is from RNAcentral.
CAAAAUUGUAAUUUGUGGCUUCUUCUUCCUCAGGAUAGCUCCUGCCCGAAGAUCCAGCAGCCCGCUCCUCGUCGCCAGCAUGGAUUGCCGUCGACGGUGAGGUCGACCACCAGAUCGCGCAACAGUUGCGCAACUCCGAUCAUCCAUUCGCAGUCGAGCUCGAAACGGCACCGGCGGCUCGCGAUUCGCAGAAAUCACGAGGAGCCGAGACACAUCUCAGCUUCGAAGCCCCGGCGGCCCACCGGACGAAUCCUUGGCCUCUCAAGCCGCCAGCCCGAGAGGCUGGAGACGGCGCAACGCUUGCGCUCCCCGAAGACGUCGAGGCUGCUGGGUUCAUCC